Molecule: ribosomal RNA, 492 nt
Filed under: uncultured bacterium
Lineage: Bacteria
Description: partial 16S ribosomal RNA
Rfam family: Bacterial small subunit ribosomal RNA
Source: RNAcentral
AGUGAACGCUGGCGGUAUGCCUAACACAUGCAAGUCGAACGGCACCACAGUAAGAGCUUGCUCUUACGUGUGUCGAGUGUCGGACGCUUGAGUAAUACUUCGGAAUCUACUUUUUCGGGGGUGCUAACGUAGGGAAACUUACUCUAAUACCGCAUUCGACCUACUUGUGUAAGCAGGGGAUCUUCUGACUUUUCGCUAUUGAAUGAGCCUAUGUCGGAUUAGCUAGUUGGCUGGUUUAAGGCACAACCAGGCGACGAUCCGUAGCUGGUCUGAGAGGACGAUCAGACAGACUGGAACUGAGAAACAGCACAGACUCCUACGCGAGGAAGCAGUGGGGAAUAUUGGACGAUGGGGGAAAGCCUAAUACAGGAAUACCGCGUGGGUGAAGAAGGAGUUCGGGUUGGAAAGCCAUUAAGUCGGGAAAGAAAAGAAGCAGGUUAACCCGCCACGGUUAUGACGGUACCGAAAGAAUAAGCACCGGCUAACUUCGUG